RNAcentral lists this unclassified non-coding RNA (212 nucleotides) under uncultured fungus. Its description in RNAcentral is "sequence contains ITS1, 5.8S rRNA gene". Lineage: Eukaryota; Fungi. The record is from RNAcentral.
UCGAAACACCCGGGUACCUGGGUCUCGGCCCGCUCCGGGAGACCGUGAGCGGCCGGGUCCGGACCCGUUCUCCACAUACCCCUGUGCACCUUUCUUAGGGAAGUGCCCCGGUCUACCUCCCGUCGGUGGGGGUGCGAAGGGCGUCCCUGCUUUCACAAACUCUCGUGUUUGUAACUGAAUCCGGGGACCAGUGCCCCGCAAAAAGCAUUGAA